This 391-nucleotide ribosomal RNA is filed under the name uncultured bacterium. RNAcentral describes it as "bacterial SSU rRNA". It matches the Rfam family "Bacterial small subunit ribosomal RNA", at positions 505 to 898 of the family's 1533-position model. The record is from RNAcentral.
GUGUCAGCCGCCGCGGUAAUACGAAGGUGGCAAGCGUUGUUCGGAUUUACUGGGCGUACAGGGAGCGUAGGCGGUUGGAUAAGCCCUCCGUGAAAUCUCCAGGCUUAACCUGGAAAGUGCAGAGGGGACUGUUCAGCUAGAGGAUGGGAGAGGAGCGCGGAAUUCCCGGUGUAGCGGUGAAAUGCGUAGAGAUCGGGAGGAAGGCCGGUGGCGAAGGCGGCGCUCUGGAACAUUUCUGACGCUGAGGCUCGAAAGCGUGGGGAGCAAACAGGAUUAGAUACCCUGGUAGUCCACGCCUUAAACGAUGGAUACUAAGUGUCGGCGGGUUACCGCCGGUGCCGCAGCUAACGCAGUAAGUAUCCCGCCUGGGAAGUACGGCCGCAAGGUUGAA